ACGCUGGCGGCGUGCCUAAUACAUGCAAGUCGAGCGAACGGACGAGAAGCUGGCUUCUCUGAUGUUAGCGGCGGACGGGUGAGUAACACGUGGAUAACCUACCUAUAAGACUGGGAUAACUUCGGGAAACCGGAGCUAAUACCGGAUAAUAUUUUGAACCGCAUGGUUCAAAAGUGAAAGACGGUCUUGCUGUCACUUAUAGAUGGAUCCGCGCUGCAUUAGCUAGUUGGUAAGGUAACGGCUUACCAAGGCAACGAUGCAUAGCCGACCUGAGAGGGUGAUCGGCCACACUGGAACUGAGACACGGUCCAGACUCCUACGGGAGGCAGCAGUAGGGAAUCUUCCGCAAUGGGCGAAAGCCUGACGGAGCAACGCCGCGUGAGUGAUGAAGGUCUUCGGAUCGUAAAACUCUGUUAUUAGGGAAGAACAUAUGUGUAAGUAACUGUGCACAUCUUGACGGUACCUAAUCAGAAAGCCACGGCUAACUACGUGCCAGCAGCCGCGGUAAUACGUAGGUGGCAAGCGUUAUCCGGAAUUAUUGGGCGUAAAGCGCGCGUAGGCGGUUUUUUAAGUCUGAUGUGAAAGCCCACGGCUCAACCGUGGAGGGUCAUUGGAAACUGGAAAACUUGAGUGCAGAAGAGGAAAGUGGAAUUCCAUGUGUAGCGGUGAAAUGCGCAGAGAUAUGGAGGAACACCAGUGGCGAAGGCGACUUUCUGGUCUGUAACUGACGCUGAUGUGCGAAAGCGUGGGGAUCAAACAGGAUUAGAUACCCUGGUAGUCCACGCCGUAAACGAUGAGUGCUAAGUGUUAGGGGGUUUCCGCCCCUUAGUGCUGCAGCUAACGCAUUAAGCACUCCGCCUGGGGAGUACGACCGCAAGGUUGAAACUCAAAGGAAUUGACGGGGACCCGCACAAGCGGUGGAGCAUGUGGUUUAAUUCGAAGCAACGCGAAGAACCUUACCAAAUCUUGACAUCCUUUGACAACUCUAGAGAUAGAGCCUUCCCCUUCGGGGGACAAAGUGACAGGUGGUGCAUGGUUGUCGUCAGCUCGUGUCGUGAGACGUUGGGUUAAGUCCCGCAACGAGCGCAACCCUUAAGCUUAGUUGCCAUCAUUAAGUUGGGCACUCUAAGUUGACUGCCGGUGACAAACCGGAGGAAGGUGGGGAUGACGUCAAAUCAUCAUGCCCCUUAUGAUUUGGGCUACACACGUGCUACAAUGGACAAUACAAAGGGCAGCGAAACCGCGAGGUCAAGCAAAUCCCAUAAAGUUGUUCUCAGUUCGGAUUGUAGUCUGCAACUCGACUACAUGAAGCUGGAAUCGCUAGUAAUCGUAGAUCAGCAUGCUACGGUGAAUACGUUCCCGGGUCU
Molecule: ribosomal RNA, 1367 nt
Filed under: uncultured bacterium
Lineage: Bacteria
Description: 16S ribosomal RNA
Rfam family: Bacterial small subunit ribosomal RNA
Source: RNAcentral